RNAcentral lists this ribosomal RNA (484 nucleotides) under uncultured bacterium. Its description in RNAcentral is "partial 16S ribosomal RNA". It matches the Rfam family "Bacterial small subunit ribosomal RNA", at positions 30 to 507 of the family's 1533-position model. The record is from RNAcentral.
AUUGAACGCUGGCGGCAGGCCUAACACAUGCAAGUCGAGCGGAUGAAGGGAGCUUGCUCCUGGAUUCAGCGGCGGACGGGUGAGUAAUGCCUAGGAAUCUGCCUGGUAGUGGGGGAUAACGUCCGGAAACGGGCGCUAAUACCGCAUACGUCCUGAGGGAGAAAGUGGGGGUUCUUCGGACCUCACGCUAUCAGAUGAGCCUAGGUCGGAUUAGCUAGUUGGUGGGGUAAAGGCCUACCAAGGCGACGAUCCGUAACUGGUCUGAGAGGAUGAUCAGUCACACUGGAACUGAGACACGGUCCAGACUCCUACGGGAGGCAGCAGUGGGGAAUAUUGGACAAUGGGCGAAAGCCUGAUCCAGCCAUGCCGCGUGUGUGAAGAAGGUCUUCGGAUUGUAAAGCACUUUAAGUUGGGAGGAAGGGAAGUAAGUUAAUACCUUGCUGUUUUGACGUUACCAACAGAAUAAGCACCGGCUAACUUCGUG